RNAcentral lists this ribosomal RNA (253 nucleotides) under uncultured bacterium. RNAcentral's name for it is "partial 16S ribosomal RNA". It matches the Rfam family "Bacterial small subunit ribosomal RNA", at positions 524 to 776 of the family's 1533-position model. The record is from RNAcentral.
UACGAAGGGGGCUAGCGUUGCUCGGAAUCACUGGGCGUAAAGCGCACGUAGGCGGAUCUUUAAGUCAGGGGUGAAAUCCUGGAGCUCAACUCCAGAACUGCCUUUGAUACUGGGGAUCUCGAGUCCGGAAGAGGUGAGUGGAACUCCGAGUGUAGAGGUGAAAUUCGUAGAUAUUCGGAAGAACACCAGUGGCGAAGGCGGCUCACUGGACCAAUACUGACACUGAGGAGCGAAAGCCAGGGGAGCAAACGGG